AGCAGGAAGGCUGACGUUUCGGGCCCAGACCCUUCUUCAGAAAACCAGGAGACAAACAGGAGGCUGAAAGAACAUUGCAGACCAGGCAGCAUUUAGAGGAAAGCAACAGUCAACCUUGCGGGUAUUCACCCUUCUUCAUUUCUGGAUGUGGUGGCGUGCUUCACAUGUAGAGACUCCGGCUUUGCCUUCUGACCCGCACACAGAGGAUUUGGCGUCUAGGUGAUCACCCCACCGCUGAAAUAACUGAAAGGCUGCAGUCACGCGAGACAAAGACAGAGGACAGGCUGGUUGGUGUGAAGGUACAGUGUAAAAGACAAAGCGGUUGCUCAGGAAAGAUCUAUGUUGUUGUUGUUCAUGUUCUGAAGAAGGAUCACUGGACCCGAAACGUUAGUUCUGAUUCACUCCUGUGUAUCUGUUACUCUCUAUAACAUCCUGAACACCUCGAUUUGUUUCCACGGAUGCUGCCGGACCUGCUGAACUUUUCCAGCAAUUUC
This is a long non-coding RNA of Rhincodon typus (whale shark), 494 nucleotides long. RefSeq lists it as uncharacterized. The transcript has 3 exons. The record is from RefSeq and is a predicted model, not a curated record. NCBI's taxonomy places the organism in Eukaryota, Metazoa, Chordata, Chondrichthyes, Orectolobiformes, Rhincodontidae.